Molecule: long non-coding RNA, 304 nt
Filed under: Homo sapiens (human)
Lineage: Eukaryota; Metazoa; Chordata; Mammalia; Primates; Hominidae
Description: non-protein coding lnc-EVA1C-2:1
Source: RNAcentral
GUUUUCUUAACCAGAGAGCUUCCUGGCCCACACAAGAAAGGAAAAAUUAAUGAUCCAUCAGCUGUUUCUGAACUUCAGGAUAGUUGGAGGCCCAGCUUCAGGGAUCACGUCUUCUGUGAGGUCACAAAGGAAAUUACGCCUUCAAGAAUGCACUGUUCAAGCCAUAUCCUUGACUCCGAUGAAUCAAUCAGGAAAGGGCUAUUGUUAUAAAUAAGCAAAUGAGACUGGUCAUCAAGCAACUGGUCCUCAAGGCACUGAACUAAGUGACACAAAGAAAAAAAAAAUGCUUCAACGUGAAAGAAAU